Molecule: non-coding RNA, 2308 nt
Organism: Misgurnus anguillicaudatus (oriental weatherfish)
Lineage: Eukaryota; Metazoa; Chordata; Actinopteri; Cypriniformes; Cobitidae
Source: RefSeq, a predicted model, not a curated record
GAACUAUGCAGAGUAAGUCUUGUUUUUUAAACAUUUGCUACUACCAAAUCAUUUAACAUAAUGAUUUCAUUCAAGUUUCUUAUAAAUAUGGAAAUCAACUAACUGAUAAGCUUAGAUUGCAAAUAGUAUAACCAUCAAAUCGAGUUACAUCUUAUUUACUUUGUUUGCAUAGCUAAUUCGUAAUUCGUUUUUUGUCAUGUGGUGUGUUCAUGUAUGUACCUAAGAAGUGACAUGCUGUUAUACAAUUAUAUAAAGGUGAAUCUGUUUUAAUUCUAGUUGUCCAGCUACAGAUGAAGAUGCUUAGUAUGAUGAAUCAUCCUCUGUUGUCAUGGACGAACCUGGCGAUGUGUUAUGGAGGAGGAAAAAACAAAAAAGACUCAUCUGAUGAGAAACCACUGCAAGAAUCUCAUCCUGUUCACACAAGUCUGUGCAGCAUGCAUGUAUCAGCAUUUUUGGUGACCAGUGACUUCUCUUCUGAGGGACGUGAAUUCCAAAUGUGUGUUUGUUGUGACGUGUGUGAACCAUGUGCAUCAUGCCUCUUGUCACAAUACGUGCCUGCUGCACACGCGUUGAAAAGGUUUAUGAUAAAAGAAGCACUCAUGUUCACAAAAUACUCGCAAGACACUAACUUGACACUAAACUGUAAUUACACAGGAGAUUAAGUGAGUAUCAGGCAAACGUGAGCAUAUCAUUUAUCAUAAACCCUUUACAUGCGUGUGCAGCAGAUUUUGACAUCACGUGUGAUGCACAUAAGUUUACAUGACGCGCUGAACACAUAUUUUGAAAUGACGAGCCACACACAUGACGAGCUCAAUGCAUGUGACCAGCUUCGCAACGUGCGCCCUCGAAAAAGAAGUCACCGGCCGACACUGACCCAGAUCAUCAAGAUGUUAAAGCUGUUCAGAGCAUCUUGUCAGCACCUUCUUCCACCAUGUACACAAUUUCUACCAUCGUGAAGGCGUGGCAGAAUGAGAGAUUUGCAGUCACCACAGGCUCUACGAGAAUGCAGCACUGUCCUGUCUUCCACUACACCUGCUCCCCUCUCCAGAUCCAUCCAGAGGAUCAACAAGGAUGAAGCUGUUGGGAUCUAUUAAUCACAUCAUUCACAAUUUAACACACUUCAACACAUUAUUAUAAUACCCGCACAUAUGAUGGGAAAGAUACUGAAAAAUUGUUAAAUGUUUUUAAAUGGGUCAGAUUGUAUAUCUUUUUUUCGGUGCUACAUAAAUAAAACUAAAUCGAAUUACAAAUGCAGAUCUACUUGGUAUAUAUCUGAUCUAAACUUCAUAAACCAGUUUUUAUACGGUAAGACAAUUUGUGAUUAUUGUUUAUUGAUUGUCACAAAAUGGGGGUAUUCAAACCAUUUAUAAAGUCCUCCUUCCUCUGGAACCUGUCCUUGAAUGGCUGACACAUGCAGGUAAGGGCGCCUGCACAGAGUUCCUUAGACGCCCAGCGGAUAACUUGCCUAUGCUGUAUUUAGUGGUAUUGUCUGGAGAUGGGAAAACUAUUAAUAUUGUUAAUUUGAAUAUUGACUAGUGCCAGCAAAAAUUGUGACUUAGUCAUGACCUAUAGGCAACUUGUAAUUAAAACAAAUUUAUUAAGAUUGUUUUAACAUUCAAAUCUUUAGUUUACUGUUCAUUUAUACAUGGAUAUUAAAUAAAUUAGUAAUAAAUAAUCUCUGCCAUAAACAUACUCAUUUCUACUGGCCUGGCCUGUAGCACAUAUGGGUUCAGACAGCUCACCUCUCCUGCGGUGAUGAGCAACAUCUGUAUCACGUAACGUAAGUGUGGAUGGAUAUUAACAUAACUUAUAAGCAUUAAAAAGAAAUAAAUUAUCAAUACUAUCUUUGCUAUUGCAUGAUAUAUGAUAAUCUGUACAAUCUUGUGAUCUGAGCACAGUAUUACAUCUCGCCAGAUCACUGAUCUCACCCACACAUCUGUCCUUUUCUCCUCACAUAACACUUCAAUUUGUCUCCUCUGACCGUUCUGUUUAAUCCUGACCAGUCCCUGCACUCUUGGCUGCAUAGCAAACUCAUAAUUGUAUGGCUGUAGUUCGCCAUACGAGUAUGAAUAAACAUUUACUCGUUCCUCAGCGUCCGAAGAACUGUCAUUGCGAUCCAGCGUGCGCCUCUCGUGAUGUCACUUCCGGUUUGGCGGUUUUUAGAGGCGGGUCUAAAAUUUUCUUACAAAAAUGACCCCAGAAGCCUAAUUAGUGCAUUUAGAAAAAUAUAUAUUUUUUAAUCUAUUUCCUACAGUAUUUUUCUGUACUUUGAGUGAAUGGGUGGUUUAACUUUCAAGUUGCUCUUUAA